CCAGGGUAAAGGUGUUAGCACAAUAAUACAUUUCGCGUGUUUUGGCGACGCUUUUACGCGCCAUCAAUUAUCUCGACUGUCUUCCGCGUCGAGAUACUGGCCAUAUUGCUAACUCACCCGCACAUGUCAUGCACGUGUGGUCUUCAACCGCGAGUUCAUUUUUGGGGGGAAAAGCCUACUCUCACUAUCUCUCUCGCAGUUCUCAACCCUAACCAUCGCACAUUUUUCAUCUUCUCCUUUGUCCAAAUCUUAUCAAUUCUUAUCUAGGUACAAAACUGACCCAAUCUCCAUCAUCGAAAGCAUCAAUCUACUCCAUUCCAAAUCGUCUUCUGGUUUCAGUUUUUUUUUCAUUUUUCGGAGCAGAUCUCGCUGAAAAUUCCGACAAAUGACCAACGAGAUAGUUAAGACGGUGUCGAGAUCGGCUUAGUUAAUUAUGGGAAAAUAAUUGCAGAUCUAGGAGAUGGUGAUAACUCGCUACUUUUGUAUUUCUUCCUGUUUGCAGCCGAAUAAACCCUCAAUCUCUCACCAGUUCUCAACCCUCUUUGAUUUCUUGCUCCAACCUUCAAGAUCGAUGAGUUACUUGCUCGAAUAAUGAAUUUCAGGAAGAGUGCUUGUAACUGCUGCAGAGCCGUAUAGAUGUUCAAUAUGACAGUUCAAACCCAGAACACCAGUUUUCUCUUAUCUAGAUGGAUAUUAGGAUUAGGGUAUUAUUGCUGACAAGGAUACACAAAGAUCACAAACAGUACACAAAAGAUAAUUAAGGAGAAUUAGGUCAGGCAGCAGACCGCGGGAGAUCAGAUGUUGCAAUUAUGGAUCUCAACCAAUUACAAAGUGUUAUUUUUACUUGAAAAUGGAGUUCUUAUAACUUGUGGAAUUGGAGGUCAUGACUGCAUUCAAACCAUUGGAGUUCUUCGGAUCAGCUUUUGAUGCUUUGUAUCCUUUUGCAACAUUAGCAUACAGAAUAACUUGUGUUGGAUGUGUCUGAUUAUUUGUGUAGAGUUAGAUACAUUCCUGCAUGCUGCAAUAUUAUCAACUAGUCAAUAAAAACAUCACACUUUUCCUAGUAGAUACUGGAGCGCAAUAAUAAUUCUUGGUGUUUCAGUUUGUUCGUCAAAGAUAGUUGUCUGAAAUUGUGUCAUACUGAAAUGAGAAACAAUGAGUUCAUAAUACUUCUUGGAAAGCAAGAAAUGUCUCUCUUGUUUAUUUACAAACAACUAUUUAUAAACAACAUGUGCAACAUUGCUAUGUUUUGAAUGAUGCAAGUAUAGAUAUUCAUGUAAAUAAAGUGCUUAAAAUUGUGACAAGAAUCCCUAGCCUACAUCUCGGAUAUUUUUCUGAAAACAAGCAAGCUGCAGGAAGUUUCGUAAUGCUUGACAUUCUGGUUGGUGGCCAGCAAAAUGUCAUGUUAGUUAUAUCAAUGACGUCUCCUUUCUUCCUCCCUUCAGUGUGCACAUCAGUUUCAGUGGCUUUGGUCUACUAUUCAAGGUAUUCAAUAAUCCGAGGGAGCGGCCUUUCACAUUUGAGGAGAUAGAUGAAGUUCGAGAAAUGUUGACAAAUUUCAUUACCAGUGAUUGUCUUUGAUAUUUUCUUGUACUGAAUCUUAAAUUAUGGAUGCUAGAUAGUUUUUAAUAUGAUUGUAAUGUAAUCGACUUUUAUAUUCACAAUUAUAUACUAUUUAAUUUAAUUAUCUAUAUAAUUGAAUACUUUUUAUAUGA
Long non-coding RNA from Spinacia oleracea (spinach), 1715 nucleotides. RefSeq lists it as uncharacterized. The record is from RefSeq and is a predicted model, not a curated record. The transcript has 6 exons. NCBI's taxonomy places the organism in Eukaryota, Viridiplantae, Streptophyta, Magnoliopsida, Caryophyllales, Amaranthaceae.